CUGAGGAGUCCAAGGAGGAUAUGGGCUUUGGUCUUUUUGACUAAACCUCUUUUGUAACAAGUUCAAUAAAAAGCUGAACUCUUAAAAAAAAUUCUUUGAAAACUCUCUCUUCAAAAGUUGGAGACUAUGUUUCUCCUUGAGUGUCACUCACUCUGGCAGAAGCCAGCAGAGCAAGCAGAUAGAUGAGGACAUUCAGCAAUAAUAUGGAGCGGUCCAUGUGUGGAGAAGCUGAGGCCACCCGCCCCCGGCCUUGUAUGUAAGCCACCUUUCAGAUCUGGUUGAGUCUUGAGAUGACUGGAGCUCUAGUGGACAGCUUGACUGCAAUCUCAUGAGCGGUCCUGAGCAGGGACCACCCAGCUGUGCUGCUGCCAAAUUCCUGACCCAAGAAUCCAUGUGAUAUGAUAAAUGUUUGUUGUUGUUUCAUGCUGCUAAUUCAUUAUGCAGCAAUAGAUAAUGAAUACAACAGGUGAUUUUGAUGCAGGUGCUCUGAACACAUUUUGUGAAAUGGACUCAGCCAAUAAAAGCACUGAGAACCUACACCUG
Molecule: long non-coding RNA, 543 nt
Filed under: Homo sapiens (human)
Lineage: Eukaryota; Metazoa; Chordata; Mammalia; Primates; Hominidae
Description: novel transcript
Source: RNAcentral